UACGGGGGGGGUAAGCGUUGUUCGGAAUUACUGGGCGUAAAGGGCUCGUAGGCGGCCAACUAAGUCAGACGUGAAAUCCCUCAGCUUAACUGGGGAACUGCGUCUGAUACUGGAUGGCUUGGAUUCGGGAGAGGAAUGCGGAAUUCCAGGUGUAGCGGUGAAAUGCGUAGAUAUCUGGAGGAACGCCGGUGGCGAAGGCGGCAUUCUGGACCGAUAUUGACGCUGAGGAGCGAAAGCCAGGGGAGCAAACGGG
Molecule: ribosomal RNA, 253 nt
Filed under: uncultured bacterium
Lineage: Bacteria
Description: partial 16S ribosomal RNA
Rfam family: Bacterial small subunit ribosomal RNA
Source: RNAcentral